Molecule: transfer RNA, 83 nt
Filed under: Spirochaetae bacterium HGW-Spirochaetae-3
Lineage: Bacteria; Pseudomonadati; Spirochaetota
Description: tRNA-Leu
Rfam family: tRNA
About the family: Transfer RNA (tRNA) molecules are approximately 80 nucleotides in length. Their secondary structure includes four short double-helical elements and three loops (D, anti-codon, and T loops).
Source: RNAcentral
GCCGGGGUGGUGGAAUGGUAGACACCAGGGACUUAAAAUCCCUUGUCCGUAAGGGCGUACCGGUUCGAGUCCGGCCCCCGGCA